RNAcentral lists this microRNA (21 nucleotides) under Echinococcus granulosus. RNAcentral describes it as "egr-miR-10231-3p". The record is from miRBase by way of RNAcentral. Lineage: Eukaryota; Metazoa; Platyhelminthes; Cestoda; Cyclophyllidea; Taeniidae.
CAGAACUAUCGGAAUGGCAGU